Long non-coding RNA from Gasterosteus aculeatus aculeatus (three-spined stickleback), 686 nucleotides. The record is from Ensembl. Lineage: Eukaryota; Metazoa; Chordata; Actinopteri; Perciformes; Gasterosteidae.
CACGGACGACGUACUUUUUGGAAUUCCUACCUGCGAAUAAACAGCAUAAUGUAAUCCUGGACUACCUCUCUGAAAUACUGAGGGUGACCCCUGUCCUUCACAUCGCCUGACCUCUGGACUCACUGCCGGCGCUGGUGGUGACCGGGGUCAUUGGACGGCGACCAGAGGAGCUCUUAAUUCUGCAACGUAAUGCCAAAGAUUUCAGAAAAGAUGAAUCCCAACGUUUGCUGGCAGGAUACAGCAGCGCUCUCACGCGGUCCAUAGUGUUGGACUGUCCCUCAUUCCUGUUCUUGGGUCCUGCUCAAAGAGUACAGGACUCACAAUGGAGGAUAAGCAUCACUCUCCAGAAUGUCUUUCCACAAAUGAGUCCUUGUUGGCGGCUCUCUGGUCUUCGGCGGCAUCAGUCGUCGUCACAAAGAGCCUUUUGCUGGAUCCAAACUCCCUUUUCCUUUUCCUUUGAGCUUUUGUUUCCCCUCUGCUUCCUUAUCUCUGCAGUUGUCUCCCCCCUGUUUUCAGGGAUCACUGAUGCAAUCGCAUCCACUUAGGUGUCAUUAUUUUUGUUAACUCUCUUAUUCCCCGUGUGAUUAUCAGCGGCGGUUUAAUGAGGUGUUUGUUUGUUUGUUUGUAUGUGUUAGUGUGUGUAUGGGAGUCUCUGUGUGUUAAGAGGGGACUGCAGCUGCAGCUCC